CAGCAGUGGGGAAUCUUGGACAAUGGGGGCAACCGUGAUCCAGCACUGUCGCGUGAGCAUGAAGGCCUUCGGGUUGUAAAGCGCUUUUGUCCGGAAAGAAAUCCCUUUCUUUAAUACGGGGGGAUAAUGACGGUACCGGAAGAAUAAGCACCGGCUAACUUCGUGCCAGCAGCCGCGGUAAUACGUAGGGUGCGAGCGUUAAUCGGAAUUACUGGGCGUAAAGCGUGCGCAGGCGGUUUUGUAAGACAGGCGUGAAAUCCCCGGGCUCAACUUGGGAAUGGCGUUUGUGACUGCAAGGCUAGAGUAUGUCAGAGGGGGGUAGAAUUCCACGUGUAGCAGUGAAAUGCGUAGAGAUGUGGAGGAACACCGAUGGCGAAGGCAGCCCCCUGGGACGUCACUGACGCUCAUGCACGAAAGCGUGGGGAGCAAACAGGAUUAGAUACCCUGGUAGUCCACGCCCUAAACGAUGUCAACUAGUUG
This 480-nucleotide ribosomal RNA is filed under the name uncultured bacterium. Its description in RNAcentral is "bacterial SSU rRNA". It matches the Rfam family "Bacterial small subunit ribosomal RNA", at positions 349 to 822 of the family's 1533-position model. The record is from RNAcentral.